Molecule: RNA transcript, 2490 nt
Organism: Caretta caretta (loggerhead turtle)
Lineage: Eukaryota; Metazoa; Chordata; Testudines; Cheloniidae
Gene: DPP7
Gene name: dipeptidyl peptidase 7
Source: RefSeq, a predicted model, not a curated record
CCCCGGCCCCCGCUAGCCAUGGCCCCUACUGCCCUCUGGGGACAGCCCGGCCGCGGUGGCGGCCCGCGGGGACAGCCCUGCCCGGCCUGGCGGGUGAAGUCGCUUCGCUUCGCUUCCCUUCGCCUGGCCUGUGGAGUGACUCCGGAGCAGAACCAGCCCCGCGCUCCAAGCGCAUCGCGGGGGGCGGCGGCGGGAGCGGGGGUCUGUUCCAUUCAGAAUAACCUACCUGCUUUGAAUGCUUCGAAAGGGUCAUGGAAACGUUCCUGCUUCCGUUAAGCUUUGUAGACGCCCGUUUACACAGCCUGCCUGUGCCCCUUUAAACCCUGCCUGCAAACCCCAGUGUAACCCAGCUAGGCAUUCUUUAGUUUACAGAACACAGGAGCCUGUUUACAAGGAGCAGUACUUUGAGCAGGUAUUGGAUCACUUCAACUUCGAAUCGUAUGGCAAUAAGACCUUCCUACAGAGAUACCUCACAACAGCUAAAUUCUGGAAGAAGGGAGUUGGGCCCAUCUUCUUUUAUACUGGGAAUGAAGGAGACAUUUGGGAAUUUGCUCAGAAUUCCGGCUUCAUCCUUGAGCUGGCAGAACAGCAGAAUGCGCUAGUAAUUUUUGCUGAGCAUAGGUAUUAUGGGACAUCUCUUCCAUUUGGGAAACUGUCAAUGCAGCGGGAAAAUAUUGGCCUGCUCACUGUGGAACAAGCCCUUGCUGACUAUGCGGUGCUCAUUACAGAGCUUAAAAAGCAGUAUGGUGCCAGGGACUGCCCAGUCAUUGCCUUCGGAGGCAGUUACGGAGGAGUGUUGAGUGCUUACAUGAGAAUGAAAUAUCCUAACAUUGUGGCUGGAGCACUAGCUGCCAGUGCUCCUCUGUUGGCUGUGGCUGGGAUUGGAGACCCCAACCAGUUCUUUCAAGCUGUCACUGCAGAUUUUCAGAGCUAUAGCCCAGCUUGUGUCAAGGCCGUGAGCAAAGCCUUCCAGGAAAUCAGUGACCUCUACUUGCGUGGAGCCUACGAUAUAAUCAGCAGUGAAAUGUCCACUUGCAAGAGGGUUUCUAGCAAGGAAGAUGUCUACCAGCUGUUUGAGUUUGCUCGAAGUGCCUUCACCAUGAUGGCUAUGAUGGACUAUCCUUACAAAACAGACUUCAUGGGUCACUUCCCUGCUUACCCAGUCAAGGUUGGCUGUGACCAGAUCCUUGCACACCAGGACUAUAUUAAAGGACUGGCAGCUCUUAUCGGAGUGUUCUACAACUCGACUAAGAUGGUGCCGUGUUAUGACAUAUACGAACAGUUCAGAAAAUGUUCUGACCCGACUGGCUGUGGCCUCGGCCCAGAUGCCGAGGCGUGGGACUAUCAGGCUUGUACCGAGAUCAACUUAACCUGCAGCAGCAACAACGUGACCGACUUUUUCCCCGAACUCCCGUUCACCGAGGCCAUGAGACAGCAGUACUGCUUCAACAAAUGGCUCGUGCACCCGCAAAGGGACUGGUUGCAAACAAUGUUUUGGGGCAGCGACCUGAAAGCUGCAAGCAACAUCAUAUUUUCAAAUGGAGACUUGGAUCCAUGGGCAGGCGGUGGCUGUUAACAGACCACCUUAGGCUGCUCCAUGGAAAUGCUGAAUGGCUACAGAGCAGGCAGCAGUUGCUCAUGUCCCUCCUGUUAAAGGGGUAUUUUUGCUCUGCUAAACUAUUUGGCAGCCCCAGAACACUUGUGGCAAAUGGUAAGUUCGUCUAUCAGGGAGGCUGCUUCUUUCUGCCAAAGAGGGGAUUUGAUUUUUUGGCUUUGCUGCAGCAAAGACCACUUCAUUUUAGACAUAACCGCUCUUUGCACUAGCUUCUGCUGGUUCAGAAUUUGGGGAAAUACCCACAGCUAGUUCUACUUCUUUUGCACCCCUCCCUCCAGCUCCGGCUGCUGUUGGAAACCAACUUCUUCCCAGUUCUGAGCUACAGCUGCCCUAACACCCUAACUUUCGAGCUGCUGAAGAUCAGAUUUGUGCAAACUAAAAAUGAAUUCAUUCUCCCCAACAACCUGAUGCAGCCAGGGUAACACCUGAAAGGCUCACGGUUCUGGAAAGAUCGGUUUUAUUGGGGAAAUAAGCCUGGCCACAAACGUUAACACUUUUUACCUGUAAUGGGGGAAAUGUCAAUUUCAGUUGAGAAAACACAUUUGACUUAUUGGGAGUGGGAGGAAGACAAGGGCUUAUGAUGAUCCUGACACACCUAUACCUGUCCUGCUACUGACCAGGUCAGCGUCCUGUUGCCCUUCCUGGCUCUGUCUUUAAUUUUUAAAGCCCAUAUUCAAACACACUUGUCUGGUAUAAGGAGUUUGACUUGCACAUUUUAUUGUUCCAGAUAAAUAGUAACCUCAGUUCCUCACUAAUUGCGAUAACCAUUAAGGGAGGCGCUCAUCAUCUGGAUCUCCGAGGAUAUAAUCCAGCUGAUCCUCCAUCUGUCACAGAUGCACGCAACCUAGAAGCAAGGAUUAUCUAUAACUGGGUGA